RNAcentral lists this ribosomal RNA (233 nucleotides) under uncultured Pseudomonas sp. RNAcentral's name for it is "partial 16S ribosomal RNA". It matches the Rfam family "Bacterial small subunit ribosomal RNA", at positions 118 to 354 of the family's 1533-position model. Lineage: Bacteria; Pseudomonadati; Pseudomonadota; Gammaproteobacteria; Pseudomonadales; Pseudomonadaceae. The record is from RNAcentral.
UAGGAAUCUGCCUGGUGGUGGGGACAACGUUACGAAGGAACGCUAAUACCGCAUACGUCCUACGGGAGAAAGCAGGGGACCUUCGGGCCUUGCGCUAUCAGAUGAGCCUAGGUCGGAUUAGCUAGUUGGUGAGGUAAUGGCUCACCAAGGCUACGAUCCGUAACUGGUCUGAGAGGAUGAUCAGUCACACUGGAACUGAGACACGGUCCAGACUCCUACGGGAGGCAGCAGGC